This 1146-nucleotide ribosomal RNA is filed under the name Triticum aestivum (bread wheat). RNAcentral describes it as "partial small subunit ribosomal RNA". The record is from RNAcentral. Lineage: Eukaryota; Viridiplantae; Streptophyta; Magnoliopsida; Poales; Poaceae.
AUGAAGGAUGCUGCUGUGAGCCAUGCCACCCCAUCAGCAAGCAUUGAAGUGGACGCUCCCGAGACCAACCUAAGCAAGGAAGAUUCCCGCUCAUCUGACACUGAUUCCAAGCGCGUGCGUGGUGGCACUCCUGUGUCCACGAUAGAAGCGGCUGAGGCGGCAGUUCACAAUGAUAUGCCAUCUACAGGUGAGAGUCUUGGCACAACAGCUCCAGCUCCUGUCGGUGCAGAUACUGCUAAGGCGACUGUUUCACGUGCUGGUCUUCCACCUAGGCGUCGUAGCCCCCGCAAGCAAUCAACAGACAUACCCAACGCACCGGCUGUAGCUAGGAGCAGCAGAGACGAGUCUGGUUAUGUUCCUGCGUCCACACUGUUCCCCCCACCUGCCAAAAGCAAUGCGAUGGAGAAACCGGAAGACCGGAGCACAACUGAUGCAGGUGUCAAGCCGGGCACGAGUGACGCAGGUGAACGUCCGGAGCAGACUGCACCUUUACCCGCAGUGGAAAUCCCCAGCUUAAAUCUGCGCACUUCCAGGCUCCCAGUCAAUGUGGGUGUCCCAUACAACCCAAACAAGAAGAUUGUCAAGAAAGCUGCGGCUGUUACCACUGACAACACGCCCCGCCCUACAAAUAAGCCCGAUCAUUCUGUAGCGGCCGAUUCGGAUAUGUUUGUUGAUCUUUCACCCUUGGAUUCUGCCCCGCAAGUUGUUCGUGGUCCGGCCACUAGGCAUGAGAGGCACCCAAUGGCCUUCACCCCACCGAGCUUCAGUCUUGGCAUCAGUCAAGAUGAACCAGUGGUGCCAGAUCCUAUGCCACUUGCAUUUGCUUUCCCGGGAGGCAUGCCCGCAAUGAUGGCGCAGCCAAUGGUCAAGGGCAGGAAGGCUGUCAAGUUCACAGAGCCGAUAGUUCAAGCCACCCCUGAGGAGAUUUCACCGUCACUUGAUGAAGCUUACCGCAGGAUCGAGGAAGCAGCAUUGCAGAGGAGGUCCUCACGAGGGCAAGGGCAAUCAAGUUCCAACGUGCCUGCAGAUACGGUAUCUGAGGAUACCAUUAGGAGUGCCAUCCCUGGUUUUGUGAGGCAGCAGAGGGUAGUUCACCCACCUCCCGCAGAAGACUACGAGCCUGAAUUCAGGGCCACUAAGGAAUAG